GCACGGGGUAGGCGGGAAUGCAACGCUCUGGCCCGGUUUUUCAGCCGCCGCCGCCGCUUUGGCGGAGCAGGCGCAGCCCAUCAGCCCCGUGAAGAAUUUCUUUGCUGGCGGCUUCGGGGGGGUCUGCUUGGUGUUCGUGGGGCACCCGCUGGACACCAUCAAGGUCAGACUGCAAACCCAGCUGAAGCUGCAGCCUGGUCAGCCUUUGCUCUAUUCUGGGACCUUUGACUGCUUCAGAAAGACUCUGGUUGGAGAGGGAGUCUGAGGCUUAUACAGAGGAAUGGCAGCUCCUAUUAUCGGAGUGACACCCAUGUUUGCUGUGUGCUUCUUUGGAUUUGGCUUGGGAAAGAGGCUCCAGCAGAGAAAACCUGACGACGUUUUGACGUGAGUUGCUGAGUUAAUCAGACACUUGGGAAAGGCACUCCAAAGCUCUUGCAGGCUGCUGCAUUGUUGCAUGUUGAGUGUGAUGUAAAUUUGUCUCCUUUCCUAGGUUAUAAAUAUAGUUCUAAAAAUUAAAACACUUGUGUUUAAAUGCU
Pezoporus flaviventris is the source of this 536-nucleotide long non-coding RNA. RefSeq lists it as uncharacterized. The transcript is spliced from 3 exons. Lineage: Eukaryota; Metazoa; Chordata; Aves; Psittaciformes; Psittacidae. The record is from RefSeq and is a predicted model, not a curated record.